UACGUAGGGUGCAAGCGUUAAUCGGAAUUAUUGGGCGUAAAGCGCGCGCAGGCGGUCCUUUAAGUCUGAUGUGAAAGCCCACGGCUCAACCGUGGAGGGUCAUUGGAAACUGGGGGACUUGAGUACAGAAGAGGAAAGCGGAAUUCCACGUGUAGCGGUGAAAUGCGUAGAGAUGUGGAGGAACACCAGUGGCGAAGGCGGCUUUCUGGUCUGUAACUGACGCUGAGGCGCGAAAGCGUGGGGAGCAACAGG
This 252-nucleotide ribosomal RNA is filed under the name uncultured bacterium. Its description in RNAcentral is "partial 16S ribosomal RNA". It matches the Rfam family "Bacterial small subunit ribosomal RNA", at positions 524 to 775 of the family's 1533-position model. The record is from RNAcentral.